RNAcentral lists this transfer RNA (70 nucleotides) under Elassoma alabamae (spring pygmy sunfish). Its description in RNAcentral is "tRNA-Trp". It matches the Rfam family "tRNA". From Rfam's summary of the family: Transfer RNA (tRNA) molecules are approximately 80 nucleotides in length. Lineage: Eukaryota; Metazoa; Chordata; Actinopteri; Centrarchiformes; Elassomatidae. The record is from RNAcentral.
AGAGAUUUAGGAUAAAUAAGACCAAAAGCCUUCAAAGCUUUAAGUAGGGGUUAAAAUCCCCUAAUCUCUA